AAAGAAAAAGGGUGAAAAGAACAAAGUUUUGUCCAUCUUUGUUCAUCAUAGCUGAAAGUUAGAGAAGAGAAAGGAGAGGAGAAAACUCUUGAGUAUUCGGUCAUUAGGAGGAGGAAAAUUGAAGGAAAUCCCCAACCAUAGUGGGCUUGGAGCUGUGAGGGAAUUCGGAGUGGCCACCCGUUCUGAAAGUUUGAUUUUCUUCUGGUGAAUUGGACAUCCUUUUAUUUACGUUUGAAGUUUUGGGUUUUUAAAUGUAAUAAGGCCGCUUAAUUAUUUUUUAUGGUUUUAAUAUGUAUUACUAAGAUAGGUAAUACUUAUUUUAACUGUUGAAUUUGGAUA
Gossypium arboreum is the source of this 339-nucleotide long non-coding RNA. RefSeq lists it as uncharacterized. The record is from RefSeq and is a predicted model, not a curated record. The transcript is spliced from 2 exons. NCBI's taxonomy places the organism in Eukaryota, Viridiplantae, Streptophyta, Magnoliopsida, Malvales, Malvaceae.